GCGAGUCACGUUUCCUCAUUUCUCCAUUUGUUUUAUUCCAUUCAGAUCCGGUCCACAUCAGGACCAAACAGUAAUUAUUAUUGUGGCCCUCAGCCCUCUGGGACCUCUGAGACAUGCGUUUACAGAGGCAUGUUUUAGUUCUCUGGUGUUUGUGUGUCUGUUCCUCUUCCUAUUGAAUGAUGAGUGGAAGUAGAAUCUUUCAUCACCUCUGUGACGAAGCCUGUUAUUGGAUGAACAGUCUGACUUAAUGAAACAGAUCGAGUUGCUGCAGCUGUGGAAGCUGAUGGAUUAACUGGGUGGUGGUUGGCGCAGACAUAUUCUUGCAAACAGUGUGUCUGGAGUUCAGCAGGGUGGCUGGUAUGAGCCUGAGACACGCAUUCUACAAGGCCCUUGACCGUCACAGUCCCAGGCUCAUGGAAAUCUUCAAGGCAAAGAGAGGGCUCACAGGGCAGGUGUUGGCUGACCUGAUGCGACAAACAAAGGAUGUUGAUGAUGAAGGAGGUUCGUACAAUGAUGUGCCAGUGGGUAUCGUCUGCCAUGAACAGGAAAACAUCACACCACACACGCAGUCUCUUCACCACAAUGCAUCCUCAGUGGGAAUCAUCUUGGAGGGAAACAUUGUGAUGGAUGUUGAGAGCCUACCAUGUACAUUGUCUUCGGACUUACCUGUGCACUUCAUCUCAACUACCCAAAGUACAUGAAGAACACUUUUGAUUUUUUUCAACAGGUACUUCUGAACUUAGGUGAGACAGAUCUGAAACCUAAACUUCAAACACUCAAGAAUCAGCUUGCAAUGUAAGAUCCAGAAUCUCAUCUUCACAAGUCAAAUGUGAGGGAUUUUUUUGUUUGUUUUAUAAAUUGGCAGAAAAGAAAAAGGAAAGUAAUAAUUCUGGCCUUCAACAUUUGUUAGUUACAACUUUGAAGGGAAUGUAUGGAUGUGAAGAGAGAGGGUAAGGAGAGAAGGACAGAUUUAAAAAAUAAAAAAAUGUUACGUGGGGGUUAGAGAAAGCAUGGGGGGUUGUGAGGAGGGGAGAGUGUGAACUCUAGAUAGGUAACUACUGUCCGUUUUAUUUAGGAAUCUGCUGUUAUUUUUUUCACUCUCUCGUUCUCUCUUUUUUCAUUCUCACACACUUUUUUGUUUUUCCACGAACAUAUUUGUUAUUUGUAAAUGUACAGAUGCCAGUGUUCAGCAGGGCUGAGUUUUAUCUUGCCAGUUUGUCAGCCAAAUUUGAAGGGGCGAUUUGAAGAGUAUAAUAUUGUAAUGAUUGGAGGUAAAGAGGAAGAGAGCUUUGUAUUGUACCAGUUUGUGAGGCAGAUUUUUUUUUUUUACUUUUCAUGCCAUCACUGCGGAAUCUGCAGCCUAUUAGGCCAUGGCUUUGUUUCUUUCUUUUGUUUUUGAAAAAAGAUAUGUUCAAUAAAAAAAAACUUG
Long non-coding RNA from Sphaeramia orbicularis (orbiculate cardinalfish), 1429 nucleotides. RefSeq lists it as uncharacterized. The transcript has 3 exons. The record is from RefSeq and is a predicted model, not a curated record. NCBI's taxonomy places the organism in Eukaryota, Metazoa, Chordata, Actinopteri, Kurtiformes, Apogonidae.